RNAcentral lists this ribosomal RNA (253 nucleotides) under uncultured bacterium. RNAcentral describes it as "partial 16S ribosomal RNA". It matches the Rfam family "Bacterial small subunit ribosomal RNA", at positions 524 to 776 of the family's 1533-position model. The record is from RNAcentral.
UACAGAGGGUGCGAGCGUUAAUCGGAAUUACUGGGCGUAAAGCGCACGUAGUCGGCUUUGCAAGUCGGGUGUGAAAUCCCCGGGCUCAACCUGGGAACUGCAUCCGAGACUGCAUUGCUAGAGUAUGGGAGAGGGAAGCGGAAUUUCUGGUGUAGCAGUGAAAUGCGUAGAUAUCUGGAGGAACACCGGUGGCGAAGGCGGCAUCCUGGACCGGCAUUGACGCUGAAUAGCGAAAGCCAGGGGAGCAAACGGG